Molecule: long non-coding RNA, 590 nt
Filed under: Citrus x clementina
Lineage: Eukaryota; Viridiplantae; Streptophyta; Magnoliopsida; Sapindales; Rutaceae
Description: Citrus clementina (C. clementina) long non-coding RNA (CCLE_LNC000339)
Source: RNAcentral
GGAAGUGAGAGAGAGAAAGGGAAAAACGAAAAGUGAAAAAUAGCCGUACCAAAGAAACGCAUUGGGAACCGAAAACCGAACGUGUGGGAUACUGAAUACGAAAUUGGGCCAAUUAAAUUACUUCCCUCUCUGUCACGGGUUCCCCUUCACCGUCUCUCUGUCCCCACUCCCGCUUAAAUUAAUAAAAGCACCACUUUCAUCUUCUUCUUCUUCUUCUUCUUUUUUUUUAAAUAAUUUCUUUUAUAUUUCAAUAACGCAAAAUUGAAAAUUCAACGACACCCUUCCUGAAGCAUCACGGAGGCAUUACGGACGCGAAUAAAAAUAUAAAACCAAGGCUCCGACGAAGGAACGAACAUAACUCUGACAAGAUUGGAGUUUUUCUAAUGUAAAAAACGACGUCAUUUUGAUUCUAAUUUUAUCGUUCCCAGGAUUAUGUUCUCUGAUCAUUUUUUUACGUUACAAAUAAUUGUUAUUGGGGAGAUGAUCAAUAUUUGUCCUACUGAAAUGAAUGUUUAUUAUUUAGUCUCUUAUUAUUAUUAUAAUAGUCAAUAAUUUCAUCCGGUAAAAAUAUUAUCUUUAUUUUGAAAUGU